RNAcentral lists this ribosomal RNA (341 nucleotides) under uncultured bacterium. RNAcentral's name for it is "bacterial SSU rRNA". It matches the Rfam family "Bacterial small subunit ribosomal RNA", at positions 181 to 507 of the family's 1533-position model. The record is from RNAcentral.
UUGAACCGCAUGGUUCAAACAUAAAAGGUGGCUUCGGCUACCACUUACAGAUGGACCCGCGGCGCAUUAGCUAGUUGGUGAGGUAAUGGCUCACCAAGGCAACGAUGCGUAGCCGACCUGAGAGGGUGAUCGGCCACACUGGGACUGAGACACGGCCCAGACUCCUACGGGAGGCAGCAGUAGGGAAUCUUCCGCAAUGGACGAAAGUCUGACGGAGCAACGCCGCGUGAGUGAUGAAGGUUUUCGGAUCGUAAAGCUCUGUUGUUAGGGAAGAACAAGUACCGUUCGAAUAGGGCGGUACCUUGACGGUACCUAACCAGAAAGCCACGGCUAACUACGUG